AAGUCGUAACAAGGUCUCCGUUGGUGAACCAGCGGAGGGAUCAUUACAGAGUUACUUAAAAAACUCCCAACCCUUUGUGAACUUACCACUGUUGCCUCGGCGCUGGCUGCGGCUACCCUAUAGCUACCCUGUAGGCAACUACCCUGUACCUAUCUUGUAGUACGCUUAGGCCCGUCGGAGGACCAUUGAACUCUUGUUUUACUGUGAAUAUCUGAAUGCUUCAACUGAAAUAAGUUAAAA
Molecule: unclassified non-coding RNA, 240 nt
Filed under: plant metagenome
Description: partial contains small subunit ribosomal RNA and internal transcribed spacer 1
Rfam family: Eukaryotic small subunit ribosomal RNA (bases 1-46)
Source: RNAcentral